GCCCGGCUGGCAGGCGCGCUACGACUGGAACGGCUUCGUGCCGUUCGCGCAGCUGCCGCGGGCGUUCAAUCCGCCCGACGGGCGC
RNAcentral lists this transfer RNA (85 nucleotides) under Burkholderia plantarii. Its description in RNAcentral is "tRNA-Arg". The record is from RNAcentral. Lineage: Bacteria; Pseudomonadati; Pseudomonadota; Betaproteobacteria; Burkholderiales; Burkholderiaceae.